This 30-nucleotide non-coding RNA is filed under the name Mus musculus (house mouse). The record is from RNAcentral. Lineage: Eukaryota; Metazoa; Chordata; Mammalia; Rodentia; Muridae.
UGUACAAGACUAGCCCUCUUACAGCAAAGC